AGGGUAGAGGAAGGGAGUGGAGGGUGCAGAGUGUCAGGAAGAGGAAGAGCGAGAGUGUUGCAGGGAAAGUACUGGUCUGUGCUGCGUGUGGGAAGUGACUUUAGUGGCGGCGUGAAGGCGAGGACACGAGUGAGGUGCUGGCAGGCUGACUGAGCGCAAUGGACCAACACGAAUAGCUGGAGCUCGGGGGACAGGCGCGCGCGAAGGCAGACGGCGACAGAUUUGUGACUCAAAACAAAAGCAUCGUGACAGCACAAGUGGGAGCGUCCGUCAUUCUUCACUGCAAGACCUCAAGUGCGACUGGCGGCCUGAUUUUUUAAGAAUACGCUGCUCUAAGGCAAGCACUGAGAAACAAGGAACGUCAUCGCCUCCAAUACGAUGACUGGUGAGGUAAACAAGUUAUAAGUCACUCGUGAUGGCGCAGGCGGCGCGUGGAGGCGAGGCUGCCCACCGCGUCCAUCCUCUGAGUGGCAUUAGUGCAGGAGUCCUUGUCUCAUCAGCCUCGGCCUCCACAAACACGGGCUGCUUUAACACUUGUGAAUAUAAGGCAAAAAACAUGGUGACUCGAGCAACUUUUCUGUGUCUUGGAUCAGGAAGAGGGACUACCAGCUCCUGACGGUGAUUCUGUACACACACUCCAGUGACGACCGCUUCUCCAUCAACUACUUGCAUUGGAUUUUUGUUGCCCUUGGCCAGUGUCCUUCCUACAAAAAAAAAAAAAAAAAAGUCACAGCCUCGGAGGUGCCACUUGGUCAAAAUGCGAGUGGAUUGACAUUAGCUGACCAAGACAGGACCAGAAAUUGACACCCACUUGCCACAAUAUCACUGUGAAGAACAUGCGAGCACUUGGGAGUUGCUUCCAUCAUGGGAGUGUCCCUCAAGAGUAGGAGCCACCCCUCUCACUGACCUGAGUCACCUGACCCUAUCAGAUUGACACAGAAGAGUGAAGGACUGCCUGCUGCCUUGAUGCAAGAAAGUUUAGGCUGCCAUCUCACUCCUGCAUUGACAGCUGAUUUGUGCUGAAGCCCACCAGUCCAGUCAAGCCAGGAGGGAACAGGUGAUCAGUGCUGAGGAGUGGAGAGUGGGCUGGCAGGAAUUAGAAGCUUUAAGAGGUUCUGAAGAAGAGAUGAAGUGGAAGAUGAACCUAGGGGCUGUCAGCUUUGUGGAAUCCCAGUAAAAUUGGAGGAUGAACUCCGCUGCCUGUCAAAUCCAUCCUGAAGUGAAGUACUCUGACUGAAUUGGGCCUUCCGUCAUCACAGUUGAAGAGAACCCAGCUCUGUCUGAACCCUGCCUGUCAGUUGCUAAACAUUGCAGAAGAUGGAGCCGUGGGUGAACCAAAGCCAUAUGUGAACCCGGCAAGAAAGUGGUGUUGCUGUCCUGAGGCUCAGGAGCACCAAUUCACUGUCCACCCUCCUUCAUCAUGGAAAGAUGUGUAUGAACAAAGAAAUUACUUGAUGAAAAAUAAAACUCACUGUAAUUUGUCAAAUUUAAUAAUUGUAUUGUGAAAAAAAAAUUAAAUUUGCUUAAUAA
Molecule: RNA transcript, 1530 nt
Organism: Scylla paramamosain (green mud crab)
Lineage: Eukaryota; Metazoa; Arthropoda; Malacostraca; Decapoda; Portunidae
Exons: 7
Source: RefSeq, a predicted model, not a curated record